This 69-nucleotide transfer RNA is filed under the name Marmota monax (woodchuck). Its description in RNAcentral is "tRNA.Val". The record is from RNAcentral. Lineage: Eukaryota; Metazoa; Chordata; Mammalia; Rodentia; Sciuridae.
GUUUGUGGCUCAGCGGUACAGCGCUUGCCUCACAUGUGCCAGUCCCUGGGUUCGAUCCUCAGCACCACA